Molecule: ribosomal RNA, 1439 nt
Filed under: uncultured bacterium
Lineage: Bacteria
Description: bacterial SSU rRNA
Rfam family: Bacterial small subunit ribosomal RNA
Source: RNAcentral
AGGGUUUGAUCAUGGCUCAGAACGUACGCUGGCGGCACGCCUAACACAUGCAAGUCGAACGAAGUAGCAAUACUUAGUGGCAGACGGGUGAGUAACAUGUAGGUAUCUGCCCUUUGGCCUGGAAUAACACGAGGAAACUUGUGCUAAUACCGGAUAAGUCUUUACGGAGAAAGCUUUAUGCACCAUUGGAUGAGCCUGCACUUGAUUAGUUUGUUGGUGGGGUAAUGGCCUACCAAGACUUUGAUCAAUAGCUGAUUUGAGAGGAUGAUCAGCCACAUUGGGACUGAGACACGGCCCAAACUCCUACGGGAGGCAGCAGUGGGGAAUCUUGCACAAUGGAGGAAACUCUGAUGCAGCGAUGCCGCGUGAGUGAAGAAGGCCUUUGGGUUGUAAAGCUCUUUCGUCGGGGAAGAAAAUGACUGUACCCGAAUAAGAAGGUCCGGCUAACUUCGUGCCAGCAGCCGCGGUAAUACGAAGGGACCUAGCGUAGUUCGGAAUUACUGGGCUUAAAGAGUUCGUAGGUGGUUGAAAAAGUUGGUGGUGAAAUCCCAGAGCUUAACUCUGGAACUGCCAUCAAAACUUUUCAGCUAGAGUAUGAUAGAGGAAAGCAGAAUUUCUAGUGUAGAGGUGAAAUUCGUAGAUAUUAGAAAGAAUACCAAUUGCGAAGGCAGCUUUCUGGAUCAUUACUGACACUGAGGAACGAAAGCAUGGGUAGCGAAGAGGAUUAGAUACCCUCGUAGUCCAUGCCGUAAACGAUGUGUGUUAGACGUUGGAAAUUUAUUUUCAGUGUCGCAGCGAAAGCGAUAAACACACCGCCUGGGGAGUACGACCGCAAGGUUAAAACUCAAAUGAAUUGACGGGGACCCGCACAAGUAGUGGAGCAUGUGGUUUAAUUCGAAGAUACGCGCAGAACCUUACCAACACUUGACAUGUUCGUCGCGACUUUAAGAGAUUAAAGUUUUCGGUUCGGCCGGACGAAACACAGGUGCUGCAUGGCUGUCGUCAGCUCGUGUCGUGAGAUGUUGGGUUAAGUCCCGCAACGAGCGCAACCCUCACUUUUAGUUGCCAUCAUUAAGUUGGGCACUCUGAAAGAACUGCCAGUGAUAAGCUGGAGGAAGGUGGGGAUGACGUCAAGUCCUCAUGGCCCUUACGUGUUGGGCUACACACGUGCUACAAUGGUAUCUACAACAGGAAGCAAGACGGCGACGUCAAGCAAAUCCUUAAAAGAUACCUCAGUUCGGAUUGCACUCUGCAACUCGAGUGCAUGAAGCUGGAAUUACUAGUAAUCGUGGAUCAGCGUGCCACGGUGAAUGCGUUCCCGGGUCUUGUACACACCGCCCGUCACACCAUGGGAGUUGGUUCUACCUUAAGGCAAGGUUUAAAACCCUUGACCACGGUAUAGUCAGCGACUGGGGUGAAGUCAUAACAAGGUAGCCGUA